UCAUCGUAGGGUUAGUCGGGACCUAAGUCGAGUCCGAGAGGGGUAGACGAUGGAAAGUUGGUUAAUAUUCCAACACCAAUUAUAGAGCGCGAUGGAAGGACGCUUAGGGCUAAACGAGCCAUCUGAUGGAAUAGAUGGUCGAAGGAUGUAGAUUGAGAUAUAGGCAAAUCCGUAUCUCUUUAUUCGAGAUCUUACAGGCACUAGAUACUCUUCGGAGUGGAAGGUGAAUCGUUGAUGCCGUCGAGCCAAGAAAAGUUUCUAAGUAUAUCUAUAAUUGCCCGUACCGUAAACCGACACAGGUGGGUGAGAUGAGUAUUCUAAGGCGCGUGGAAGAAUCCUGGUUAAGGAACUCUGCAAAAUAGCACCGUAUCUUCGGUAUAAGGUGUGCCUCCUUCUGUGAAGCCCAUACGGGUGGAGCGGAAAAGGUUGCAACAAAGAGUCCCUCCCGA
RNAcentral lists this ribosomal RNA (449 nucleotides) under uncultured Campylobacterota bacterium. RNAcentral's name for it is "bacterial LSU rRNA". It matches the Rfam family "Bacterial large subunit ribosomal RNA", at positions 1369 to 1799 of the family's 2925-position model. The record is from RNAcentral. Lineage: Bacteria; Pseudomonadati; Campylobacterota.